AUUGAACGCUGGCGGCAUGCUUUACACAUGCAAGUCGAACGGUAACAGGCCUUCGGGUGCUGACGAGUGGCGAACGGGUGAGUAAUGCAUCGGAACGUGCCCAAUCGUGGGGGAUAACGUAGCGAAAGUUACGCUAAUACCGCAUAAGCCCUGAGGGGGAAAGUGGGGGACCGCAAGGCCUCACGCGAAUGGAGCGGCCGAUGUCAGAUUAGCUAGUUGGUGGGGUAAAGGCCCACCAAGGCGACGAUCUGUAGCGGGUCUGAGAGGAUGAUCCGCCACACUGGGACUGAGACACGGCCCAGACUCCUACGGGAGGCAGCAGUGGGGAAUUUUGGACAAGUGGGG
This 345-nucleotide ribosomal RNA is filed under the name uncultured bacterium. RNAcentral describes it as "bacterial SSU rRNA". It matches the Rfam family "Bacterial small subunit ribosomal RNA", at positions 29 to 377 of the family's 1533-position model. The record is from RNAcentral.